AGACGAAGGGGGCUAGCGUUGUUCGGAAUUACUGGGCGUAAAGCGCGUGUAGGCGGUUGCCAAAGUCGGGUGUGAAAGCCUUGAGCUCAACUCAAGAAUUGCACUCGAUACUUGGUGACUAGAGGACCGGAGAGGAUAGUGGAAUUCCCAGUGUAGUGGUGAAAUACGUAGAGAUUGGGAAGAACACCAGUGGCGAAGGCGGCUAUCUGGACGGUUUCUGACGCUAAGACGCGAAAGCGUGGGGAGCAAACAGGAUUAGAUACCCUGGUAGUCCACGCCGUAAACGAUGGGUGCUAGACGUUGGCGAGCUUGCUCGUCAGUGUCGCAGCUAACGCGUUAAGCACCCCGCCUGGGGAGUACGGCCGCAAGGUUGAA
This 375-nucleotide ribosomal RNA is filed under the name uncultured bacterium. RNAcentral describes it as "bacterial SSU rRNA". It matches the Rfam family "Bacterial small subunit ribosomal RNA", at positions 523 to 898 of the family's 1533-position model. The record is from RNAcentral.